AUUACUCAAAAAGCUGUUUCCAAUAAACCUGUAAUAUUGGUUUAAGAUACAUGCUGUAUGCAGGGAGAAGCAACUUCUAAUUGAGCAGUGAAUAUAUCAACAGAUCCUGAGCUGUUCCAUACUGACAAUGGGUGUGUUUAGUGGAUCACUGUAAGAUGUUCCUUAGAGAAAUCUCCAGUGAGGCGGAAAUGGAUGUUAUUAAAACUGCUUAGGAAUACCAUCAAAAAAAAUGAAGUCUGUCUCAUUAUAAAACAAGUCUGAAUCAGGUCAAAUCAUCAUGGAGAUAUUGG
Molecule: long non-coding RNA, 290 nt
Filed under: Mus pahari (shrew mouse)
Lineage: Eukaryota; Metazoa; Chordata; Mammalia; Rodentia; Muridae
Description: lncRNA (MGP_PahariEiJ_G0005520.1)
Source: RNAcentral